GAUGAACGCUGGCGGCGUGCCUAAUACAUGCAAGUCGAGCGAACAGACGAGGAGCUUGCUCCUCUGACGUUAGCGGCGGACGGGUGAGUAACACGUGGAUAACCUACCUAUAAGACUGGGAUAACUUCGGGAAACCGGAGCUAAUACCGGAUAAUAUAUUGAACCGCAUGGUUCAAUAGUGAAAGACGGUUUUGCUGUCACUUAUAGAUGGAUCCGCGCCGCAUUAGCUAGUUGGUAAGGUAACGGCUUACCAAGGCAACGAUGCGUAGCCGACCUGAGAGGGUGAUCGGCCACACUGGAGCUGAGACACGGUCCAGACUCCUACGGGAGGCAGCAGUAGGGAAUCUUCCGCAAAGGGCGAAAGCCUGACGGAGCAACGCCGCGUGAGUGAUGAAGGUCUUCGGAUCGUAAAACUCUGUUAUUAGGGAAGAACAAAUGUGUAAGUAACUAUGCACGUCUUGACGGUACCUAAUCAGAAAGCCACGGCUAACUACGUG
This 497-nucleotide ribosomal RNA is filed under the name uncultured bacterium. RNAcentral describes it as "partial 16S ribosomal RNA". It matches the Rfam family "Bacterial small subunit ribosomal RNA", at positions 28 to 507 of the family's 1533-position model. The record is from RNAcentral.